Molecule: ribosomal RNA, 429 nt
Filed under: Verrucomicrobiota bacterium
Lineage: Bacteria; Pseudomonadati; Verrucomicrobiota
Description: Verrucomicrobia bacterium partial 16S ribosomal RNA
Rfam family: Bacterial small subunit ribosomal RNA
Source: RNAcentral
UGGGGAAUCUUCCGCAAUGGGCGAAAGCCUGACGGAGCAACGCCGCGUGAGUGAAGACGGCCUUCGGGUUGUAAAGCUCUGUUAAUCGGGACGAAUGGUUUGUGUGCAAAUAGUGCAUAGACAUGACGGUACCGGAAUAGAAAGCCACGGCUAACUACGUGCCAGCAGCCGCGGUAAUACGUAGGUGGCAAGCGUUGUCCGGAAUUAUUGGGCGUAAAGCGCGCGCAGGCGGACUAGCCAGUCAGUCUUAAAAGUUCGGGGCUUAACCCCGUGAUGGGAUUGAAACUACUAGUCUAGAGUAUCGGGGAGGAAAGUGGAAUUCCUAGUGUAGCGGUGAAAUGCGUAGAUAUUAGGAAGAACACCAGUGGCGAAGGCGACUUUCUGGACGAACACUGACGCUGAGGCGCGAAAGCCAGGGGAGCGAACGGG